AUAUUCUUUAAAAUUAUAUAAUAGUAUUAUAUUGCUAACAAUAUUAUACUAUUAUUAUUAUACAACCAUUUGUGUACUUAAGUGUGUGCAGGUAAUUCCGCUAUUAACUUGCAUUAAUCGAAAAGAGGCUAUUAUCCCCCCUUAUAGCCUCGGAUCUCGAUCCAACAAGUGGUAUCAGAGCCAAGUAUCGUUGAAGUUUGACUAACAUCUUACAACAACAACUAUGGCACCAAAUGGUGAAUUCAACACUGGUCUUGCGUCAAACAAACCUCCCAGGUUCGAUGGAGUAAAGUAUGACUUCUGGAAGAACAAAAUGAAGUUAUACUUGAAGUCAAUCAACAAUGGAGUAUGGAAGAUCAUAUUAGAGGAUUAUGAAAUUCCAACAAGC
Molecule: long non-coding RNA, 388 nt
Filed under: Zostera marina
Lineage: Eukaryota; Viridiplantae; Streptophyta; Magnoliopsida; Alismatales; Zosteraceae
Description: long non-coding RNA (ZMAR_LNC004068)
Source: RNAcentral